Molecule: long non-coding RNA, 754 nt
Filed under: Durio zibethinus
Lineage: Eukaryota; Viridiplantae; Streptophyta; Magnoliopsida; Malvales; Malvaceae
Description: long non-coding RNA (DZIB_LNC000690)
Source: RNAcentral
CAGGCUUCCAUGCACACACAGUAGAAGGACCAUAGGUUUCUGAAAGACCAUAAGUGUGGGUUACACGGAAACCUUUUUGAGACAUUGCAAAGAGAACAGCAGGGGGUGGGGCAGCGCCGGCCGUCAUUACAUGAACAAUAUGGGGGAGGGGCAGAAUUGUGUCCUCAGGUGGGGCAUUAACUACGGUAUUGAGCACCACAGGUGCAGCACAGAAGUGAGUCACACCAUACUUUGCUAUGGCUGAGUAGACUCCCUUUGCUGUUACCUGCCGAUACAUAAGGAAUGGAAUAACUCUCAAAGUCUCAAUCUCUGAGUUCAAAUCAUGACAAGAUGAAAGCAGAAUAUCAAAAGGCACCAGAGCAUAAUAGGACUACAUUAUACUGAAUACACAACCUCAGAGUUUCAAUAAAAUUAAGCCUAGAACCAGAUCAGAAAUAGAUGAAUAUGGAACAGAAAAGCUAAUUUGUUUCAUAUACUGAAGUGGAUGUAAAGCAAUUAUUUUGCCUACUAAUUACCUGUCGGAGGCAUAUGUUUGUUCCACAAAGAGCUGCGAGUGCCCAAGUAAAACACCAACCAUUACAAUGGAACAUGGGUAGAGUCCACAAGUACACAGCACCUUCAUUCAUCCCCCAUAUAAGAGGAUUACUCAAAGACAUGAGAUAUGCCCCUCGGUGAUGUAAUACCACCCCUUUAGGACUGGCUGUUGUGCCAGAUGUAUAACCCAAAGCAAUGCUUUGCCACUCAUCCUGAGGAG